This 1179-nucleotide ribosomal RNA is filed under the name uncultured bacterium. Its description in RNAcentral is "bacterial SSU rRNA". It matches the Rfam family "Bacterial small subunit ribosomal RNA", at positions 259 to 1465 of the family's 1533-position model. The record is from RNAcentral.
UACGGCUCACCAAGCUUAUGACGGGUAGCUGGCUUCAUGAGGGUGGUCAGCCAGAGGGGGACUGAGACACGGCCCCCACUCCUACGGGAGGCAGCAAUCAGGAAUAGUCGGCAAUGGGCGAAAGCCUGACCGCGCAAUACCGCGUGUAGGAUGACACUCUAACGAGCGUAAACUACUGUGGCGAGGGAAGAAGUCUUUAUGAUUGACGGUACCUCGCUAGAAAGGGGCCGCUAACUUCGUGCCAGAAGCGUCGGUAAUACGGGGGCCCCAAGCGUUAUCCGGUGUUACUGGGCGUAAAGAGUCGUGUAGGCGGUUUUGUAAGUUACCUUUUAAAUCUUCCGGCCUAACCGGAAAACUGGAGGUAAUACUGCAAAACUAGAAUUUCCUAUGAGGGUAAUCGGAACUAAGGGAGGAGUAGUGAAAUGCGUUGAUACCCUUGGGAACACCAAUGGCGAAGGCAGAUUACUGGAAGGAAAUUGACGCUGAGACACGAAAGCUAGGGUAGCGAAGCAGAUUAGAGACCUGCGUAGUCCUAGCCGUAAACGCAUGCUUGCUAGCUGCAUGAAAUCAGUUUACUGAUUUCGUGUGGCGAAGGUAACCCGUUAAGCAAGCCGCCUGGGGAGUACGGCCGCAAGGCUAAAACUCAAAGGAAUUGGCGGGGAGGCACACAAUCAGUGGAACAUGUGGUUUAAUUCGAAACAAACCGAAGAACCUCACCAGGGUUUGACAUGGAGCUGCAAGCGCACGGAAACGUGUGAUCUUCGAGAGUGCUCCACAGGUGCUGCAUGGCUGUCGUCAGUUCGUUCCGUGGGGAGUGCCCUUAAGUGGGACAACGAACGCAACCCCUAUCCUAUGUUACAAGUGUCAUAGGAAACUGCCCCGCCGGCUGGCGGGGAGGAAGAAGGGGCAGACGUCAAGUCAGCAUGGUCCUUAUGCCCUGGGCUACACACAUGUUACAAUGAGUAUGACAAUGAGCAGCAAACUCGUGAGGGUAAGCUAAUCUCAUAAACAUUCUCUCAGUGGGGAUUGGGGUCUGAAAUUCGACCCCAUGAACGCGGAAUUGAUAGUAAUCGCGGAUCAGAUAUGCCGCGGUGAAUACGUUCUUGCCUCUUGCACACACCGCCCGUCAAGCCAACAAAGUCGGGGAUAUCUGAACUCCGCAGAAGCGGAGGAAGUUGU